RNAcentral lists this ribosomal RNA (479 nucleotides) under uncultured bacterium. Its description in RNAcentral is "bacterial SSU rRNA". It matches the Rfam family "Bacterial small subunit ribosomal RNA", at positions 328 to 793 of the family's 1533-position model. The record is from RNAcentral.
UCAGUCGACUCCUACGGGGAGGCAGCAGUGGGGGAAUAUUGCACAAUGGGCGCAAGCCUGAUGCAGCCAUGCCGCGUGUAUGAAGAAGGACCUUCGGGUUGUAAAGUACUUUCAGCAGUGAGGAAGGUGGGUAUGGUUAAUAGCAUACUCAUUUGACGUUAGCUGCAGAAGAAAGCACCGGCUAACUCCGUGCCAGCAGCCGCGGUAAUACGGAGGGUGCGAGCGUUAAUCGGAAUUACUGGGCGUAAAGCGCAUGCAGGUGGUUUGUUAAGUCAGAUGUGAAAGCCCGGGGCUCAACCUCGGAAUUGCAUUUGAAACUGGCAAACUAGAGUACUGUAGAGGGGGGUAGGAAUUUCAGGUGUAGCGGUGAAAUGCGUAGAGAUCUGAAGGAAUACCGGUGGCGAAGGCGGCCCCCUGGACAGAUACUGACACUCAGAUGCGAAAGCGUGGGGAGCAAACAGGAUUAGAUACCCUGGUAG